UUCUUUUUCGUUUUAUUAAAAAGUAAAAUCUGCCCACUGAUAUAUUAAAGGGCCGCGGUAUUUUGACCGUGCUAAGGUAGCAUAAUCAUUAGUCUCUUAAUUAGGGAAUAGUAUGAAUGGUUAAACCUAGAAAAAUUUUUUUGGUCAGUAUUUUUGAAAUUUAAAUUGAAGUGAAAAUGCUUUAAAUUAGAAAUUAGACGAUAAGACCCUAUAGAGCUUAAUGCUUCUUUUAAACCAUUCUUUGGGGGAAAGAAUGGUUUAAUAGGAAUGUGUUUAGUUGGGGCAAUUUUAGAAUAAUAAAAACUUCUAAUGAUUUUAAUAAAUCUUAAAUUUUAAAAACUAAAAAGUUACCUUAGGGAUAACAGCGUAAUGAUUUUUUAGAGUUCUUAUCGACAAAAUUGUUUGCGACCUCGAUGUUGAAUUAAAAUUUCUUAAAAGAGCAGUAUUUUUAUAAGAAAGUCUGUUCGACUAUUAAAUUUUU
RNAcentral lists this ribosomal RNA (481 nucleotides) under Willowsia nigromaculata. Its description in RNAcentral is "partial 16S ribosomal RNA". It matches the Rfam family "Bacterial large subunit ribosomal RNA", at positions 1831 to 2597 of the family's 2925-position model. Lineage: Eukaryota; Metazoa; Arthropoda; Collembola; Entomobryomorpha; Entomobryidae. The record is from RNAcentral.